RNA transcript from Mastomys coucha (southern multimammate mouse), 935 nucleotides. It is a transcript of the gene named zinc finger and SCAN domain-containing protein 30-like, with no coding region annotated. The record is from RefSeq and is a predicted model, not a curated record. NCBI's taxonomy places the organism in Eukaryota, Metazoa, Chordata, Mammalia, Rodentia, Muridae. The transcript has 5 exons.
CCCACUUCCGGCAAGCGAGCACCGUAGCUUUCCGGCUUCCCAGGGCUGUGCGGGUAAUCUGUGGAGUGAGGUAUCAAACUCCGGUCAGAAGGUUUGGUGGCAAAUGUGCACUGUCCCAUCCUGUCCUGCCACGUUCCCCCGCAACCCCCAGACAAGGAUGUUCAGAGAAACAACAGCCUUGGCCUGUCAUGCUCCAGAAGGACAAAAUAGGCUCAACUCUGUGAAAGUUGAAGAAGAAAAUGGUAUUUGGAAGCAGGACUUCAGUCUUCAGGGAAACCUCCAGAGCCAGGAGGUUUUCCGUCAGCAGUUCAGACAGUUUGGCUACUCUGAUUUCACUGGGCCCCGGGAGGCUCUGAACCAACUGCAGAAGCUUUGCCAGCAGUGGCUGAAGCCAGAGGAGCACUCCAAGGAGCAGAUCUUAGAGCUGCUGGUGCUGGAGCAGUUCAUGACCAUCCUGCCUAUGGAGCUGAAGGCCUGGGUGCAAGAACACAGGCCCAGAAAUGGAGAGGAGGCUGUGACUCUGCUGGAGGAGCUAGAGAGAGAAUUUGAUGAACCCAAGCAACAGGUAAGAUGGUUUUUCUCUUAUCUGCCCUUAGUCACACUACUGGUACUUGUUACUCUAGGACACAGCUCAUGGUCAAGAAAUGAUCUGCGAAGAAAUGACAUUCAUGGGAAUGUCAGAGUCUCUGAGUAGUCCACUGCAGUCCUUGGAGAACCAUUGCAAGAGUGAACCCCAGGAGCCCCAGAUUUUCCAUGAGAGAGAUGAGGCAACCCUACCAUUUAGGGUUGAGGAUGAAGAUAGCAAGAUGGCGAGUGGGAAAGUAUUGACAGCAAAGCAAGAAACUGAUGAAUGUGUUGCAUCAGUGGCCAUGGCAUCUCCAGGAAGACUUCCUAGGGAAACUUCUCCAGCACAGAUAGUUGAAGAAACUAUGGGA